UACGUAGGUCCCGAGCGUUGUCCGGAUUUAUUGGGCGUAAAGCGAGCGCAGGUGGUUUAUUAAGUCUGGUGUAAAAGGCAGUGGCUCAACCAUUGUAUGUAUUGGAAACUGGUAGACUUGAGUGCAGGAGAGGGGAGUGGAAUUCCAUGUGUAGCGGUGAAAUGCGUAGAUAUAUGGAGGAACACCGGCGGCGAAAGCGGCUCUCUGGCCUGUAACUGACACUGAGGCUCGAAAGCGUGGGGAGCAAACAGG
RNAcentral lists this ribosomal RNA (252 nucleotides) under uncultured bacterium. RNAcentral describes it as "partial 16S ribosomal RNA". It matches the Rfam family "Bacterial small subunit ribosomal RNA", at positions 524 to 776 of the family's 1533-position model. The record is from RNAcentral.